AUUACAAAUUAAAUGGCUUCCCUAAUUUUCCACUGACUCAUAACAGUUAUUUGAAUUUGCGUAGUUAACUAUACCUGCAUUAUAAAUGACAUAGCUCAUAGUGAUAACUCCCCUUUUAAACUUGUUUCAGUCAUUUUUUUAUUGCUCUGACCAAAAGACCAAUAAAGAACUACAUAGAGGAGGCAAGGUAUAUUUGGGGCUCAUGGUUUUAUAGGUCUCAGUCCAUAGACAGCCGACUCUGUUGCUUUGGGCCCCAGGUAAGGCAGACCAUCAUGGCAGAAAACUGUGGAGGAAGAAAGCAGCUCAGAACAUGGAACCAGGCAGCAGAGAGAGACAGAGAGAGACAGAGACAGAGACAGAGAGACGGGGAGGAACAGAGACAGAGAUGAGACAGAAAGAGAUAAAGAGAAUGAGCUCCCCUCAUCAUAGACAAAAUAUAAACCCCAAAGGCCCGCCCUCAAUGACCCACCUCCUCCAGCCACAACCUACCUGCCUACAGUUACCUCCCAGUUAAUCCCCAUCAAGACAUUGAUGCACUGAUUAGGUUAAGGCUUUCAUAACUCAAUCAUUUCAUUCUAAACUUUCUUGCAUUGUCUCACACAUGAGCUUUUGGGGUCACCUAGUAUCUAAACUAUAACAGAACCCUUAUUAUAUUCUGACAUUGUAUAUUUUUUGUUCUGUUUUUGUUUGUUUGUUUUUCUAUUAGGAAUCUCAUUUUACAGUCAAGUAAUCUGAGUUUGAGAUCGGGUUAGUUCCCUACCAGCCAGUUCACAACUCUGGUCUUCCUGACUGUAAAGGCUUAGCCAGAUUAUUGUGCAGCUGGAGCAGGCACACUUUACCUUAAAAAAAAAAAUAGGCUGAUUUAAAGCUCCAGAUAAUUUUACCCCUAAAGAACUUUGAUCCAUGGAGUAACUUCAGGGAAGCUGUAUGAGGGAGUGGUCUUGCAUUCCAUCGUAUUCUUUACUCUCCCUUCAGUACUUCCCAGGAGGAGUGCUCCAGGUAAAUUCACACUGCAGCCUGUCUUACAAAUCAAGGGCACAUUUUUGGAAAUGAAAACAUGACCAUGAAAAAUGCUGCCCCCAGGUUUCUUAGGGAAGGAGCAACUGAAGUUGAGGGGAAGGCUCUAGUUUCUUACUGUGACCCUAUAUUUGUCACCUUGUCUUGCUUGCCUUUCUCUGUUUGAGCCCCUGAAGCAUUGAAAAGGGAACCAAAUUCUAGCUCUGUGGAUCCCAU
This 1233-nucleotide long non-coding RNA is filed under the name Marmota monax (woodchuck). Lineage: Eukaryota; Metazoa; Chordata; Mammalia; Rodentia; Sciuridae. The record is from RNAcentral.